Molecule: ribosomal RNA, 877 nt
Filed under: Anastrepha bellicauda
Lineage: Eukaryota; Metazoa; Arthropoda; Insecta; Diptera; Tephritidae
Description: partial 16S ribosomal RNA
Source: RNAcentral
AGUUUUUUUAGAAAUAAAUUUAAUUUACAAAUUUUUAAUUUUUAAUUUAUUUAUUAAAAUUAAAAAAUUAUUAAUUUGAAUAUUUUAAGGGAUAAGCUUUAAAAUAAAAUAUUAAAAAUAUUAAAUAAUUCAUUAAAAAUGUAUGUGUAGAAUUAGCAAUCAUUUAUAAAUUUGUUAUAAAUUAUUUUAUAAAAUUUAUUAUUUAUUAUUAUUUUAUUAUUUAUAAAAAUUUUUUUACAAAUUUUUAAUGAAAAAUAAUAAUGAUUUAAUUAGUAUAUAAAUAUUGUUUAAAUAUUUUAAAUUGAAAAGUUUAUAUAAAGAACUCGGCAAAUUUAUAAUUUAUAUUAUACUCGCCUGUUUAACAAAAACAUGUCUUUUUGAAUUGUAUUUAAAGUCUAACCUGCCCACUGAAUAAAUUUAAAUGGCCGCAGUAUUUUGACUGUGCAAAGGUAGCAUAAUCAUUAGUCUUUUAAUUGGAGGCUGGUAUGAAUGGUUGGACGAGGUAUAAGCUGUUUCAUAUAAAUUUAUUUUAGAAUUUUAUAUUUUAGUUAAAAAGCUAAAAUUUUAUUAAAAGACGAGAAGACCCUAUAAAUCUUUAUAUUUAAUUUUAUUUAAGUUUUUUUGAUUUGUUUUAUUUUUAUAAUAUUAGAUAUUUUGUUGGGGUGAUAUUAAAAUUUAAUGAACUUUUAAUUGUUUAAAAUCAUUAAUUUAUGAAUUAUUGAUCCAUUAAUAUUGAUUAUAAGAUUAAGUUACUUUAGGGAUAACAGCGUAAUUUUUUUUGAGAGUUCAUAUCGACAAAAAAGUUUGCGACCUCGAUGUUGGAUUAAGAUAUAAAUUUGGGUGUAGCUGUUCAAAUAUUAAGUCUGUUCGACUUUUA